GAGUGGCGCAAGGGUGCGUAACACGUGGGUAAUCUGCCGCGAAGUCCGGGAUAACUUGCUGAGAGGCGAGCUAAUACCAGAUGUGACUGUCGGGAGGCAUCUCCUGGCAUUCAAAGUUGGGGACCGUAAGGCCUGACACUUCACGAUGAGCCCGCGGCCUAUCAGCUAGUUGGUGAGGUAACGGCCCACCAAGGCUAAGACGGGUAGCUGGUCUGAGAGGACGACCAGCCACACUGGAACUGAGACACGGUCCAGACACCUACGGGUGGCAGCAGUCGAGAAUUUUUCUCAAUGGGCGAAAGCCUGAAGGAGCGACGCCGCGUGGGGGAUGAAGGGCUUCGGCCUGUAAACCCCUGUCAUUUGCGAUCAAGGCGACCGACCUAAUACGUCGGGCGUUGAUAGUAGCGAAAGAGGAAGGGACGGCUAACUCUGUGCCAGCAGCCGCGGUAAUACAGAGGUCCCAAGCGUUGUUCGGAUUUACUGGGCGUAAAGGGUGCGUAGGUGGCAAGGUAAGUUCGGUGUGAAAUCUCCAGGCUUAACCUGGAAACUGCACUGGAUACUAUCUAGCUCGAGGAUCGUAGGGGAGACUGGAAUUCUCGGUGUAGCAGUGAAAUGCGUAGAUAUCGAGAGGAACACCAGUGGCGAAAGCGAGUCUCUGGACGAUCCCUGACACUGAGGCACGAAAGCUAGGGGAGCAAACAGGAUUAGAUACCCUGGUAGUCCUAGCCCUAAACGGUGCAUGUUUGCUGUGGGAGGAAUCGACCCCUUCCGUGGCGAAGCUAACGCGUUAAACAUGCCGCCUGGGGAGUACGGCCGCAAGGUUAAAACUCAAAGAAAUUGACGGGGGCCUGCACAAGCGGUGGAGUAUGUGGCUUAAUUCGAUCAACGCGAAGAACCUUACCUGGCCUUGACAUGUAGGUGGUAGAAGCCUGAAAGGGCAACGACCCCGCAAGGGGAGCUUACACAGGUGCUGCAUGGCUGUCGUCAGCUCGUGUCGUGAGAUGUUGGGUUAAGUCCCGCAACGAGCGCAACCCUCGUGUCCUGUUGCGACCCGGAUGAGAAUUCGGAGCACUCUGGACAGACUGCCACAUUUUCAUGUGGAGGAAGGUGGGGAUGACGUCAAGUCAGGAUGGCCCUUACGGCCAGGGCUGCACACGUACUACAAUGCCCGGUACAAAGAGAAGCAAGACCGCAAGGUGGAGCUAAUCUCGCAAAACCGGGCCCAGUUCAGAUUGUCGGCUGCAACUCGCCGACAUGAAGCUGGAAUCGCUAGUAAUGGCGCAUCAGCUACGGCGCCGUGAAUACGUUCCCAGGCCUUGUACACACCGCCCGUCACAUCAUGAAAGCCGGUUGUACCCGAAGUCGGCGCGUUAACCGCAAGGAGACAGCUGCCGAAGGUAUGGCUGGUGAUUGGGAUGAAGUCGUAACAAGGUA
RNAcentral lists this ribosomal RNA (1434 nucleotides) under metagenome. Its description in RNAcentral is "bacterial SSU rRNA". It matches the Rfam family "Bacterial small subunit ribosomal RNA". The record is from RNAcentral.